This is a long non-coding RNA of Hypomesus transpacificus, 582 nucleotides long. RefSeq lists it as uncharacterized. The transcript has 3 exons. Lineage: Eukaryota; Metazoa; Chordata; Actinopteri; Osmeriformes; Osmeridae. The record is from RefSeq and is a predicted model, not a curated record.
CGGGGAAGAAGGGGGUGGAGUCAGGGAAGAAGGCAGCCUUCACGUCCAGGCCUCUCUCAGUCAGCGCGGCGUAGCGACUGGUGGACGGACGCACCCUCUUAGGCUUUGGCGAUGACGACGACUCACCAUGGACGUCGAGACGUGCAGUGCUCGAGACGAUCCCAGCUUCGUUCUUGGCAGACACAGUGUACCAGCCUGCAUCCUCCUUCAUGGCCGGCUGGAUGAUCAUGCACAGACAGAAGGAAAGGAGACGGGCGGAGCCGGGAUAGAGAGACAGAAGGAAAGGAGAGAACCAAGAAGAAAAGAGGGGGAGAAGCAAGAAAAACGAGGCAGAAAAGAUAAUUGCGGAGUGAGAAACGGAUCCGUCUUAAUCCAGGACAAGUGAAACCCUCCUCCUCCUCCCUCUAAGAUAUCCAUCACACUGGGGUCAAACACUCCGCCUCCCUCGUCCUCUAUAGAACCAGGAAUGUACUGGGAGAACACACAAGGAUGAGGAAGAUGACGGCGGAUGUGCAGGAGGGGAGGAGCCUAUGGUUGGGGUCGGGGUCUAGGAUGAUGGGAAGGGGGCUAUGGUUGGGGGUG